ACACGGACCAAACUCCUACGGGAGGCAGCAGUGAGGAAUAUUGGUCAAUGGGCGCGAGCCUGAACCAGCCAAGUCGCGUGAGGGAUGAAGGUUCUAUGGAUCGUAAACCUCUUUUAUAAGGGAAUAAAGUGCGGGACGUGUCCCGUUUUGUAUGUACCUUAUGAAUAAGGAUCGGCUAACUCCGUGCCAGCAGCCGCGGUAAUACGGAGGAUCCGAGCGUUAUCCGGAUUUAUUGGGUUUAAAGGGUGCGUAGGCGGCCUUUUAAGUCAGCGGUGAAAGUCUGUGGCUUAACCAUAGAAUUGCCGUUGAAACUGGGGGGCUUGAGUAUGUUUGAGGCAGGCGGAAUGCGCGGUGUAGCGGUGAAAUGCUUAGAUAUCACGCAGAACCCCGAUUGCGAAGGCAGCCUGCCAAGCCAUGACUGACGCUGAUGCACGAAAGCGUGGGGAUCAAACAGGAUUAGAUACCCUGGUAGUCCACGCAGUAAACGAUGAUCACUAGCUGUUUGCGAUACAUUGUAAGCGGCACAGCGAAAGCGUUAAGUGAUCCACCUGGGGAGUACGCCGGCAACGGUGAAACUCAAAAGAAUUGACGGGGGCCCGCACAAGCGGAGGAACAUGUGGUUUAAUUCGAUGAUACGCGAGGAACCCUACCCGGGUUUGAACGCAUUCGGACCGAGGUGGAAACACCUUUUCUAGCAAUAGCCGUUUGCGAGGUGCUGCAUGGUUGUCGUCAGCUCGUGCCGUGAGGUGUCGGCUUAAGUGCCAUAACGAGCGCAACCCCUGCCACUAGUUACUAACAGGUAAAGAUGAGGACUCUGGUGGGACUGCCAGCGUAAGCUGCGAGGAAGGCGGGGAUGACGUCAAAUCAGCACGGCCCUUACAUCCGGGGCGACACACGUGUUACAAUGGCGUGGACAAAGGGAGGCCACCUGGCGACAGGGAGCGAAUCCCCAAACCACGUCUCAGUUCGGAUCGGAGUGUGCAACCCGACUCCGUGAAGCUGGAUUCGCUAGUAAUCGCGCAUCAGCCAUGGCGCGGUGAAUAAAUUCCCGGGCCUUGCACU
This 1062-nucleotide ribosomal RNA is filed under the name uncultured bacterium. Its description in RNAcentral is "bacterial SSU rRNA". It matches the Rfam family "Bacterial small subunit ribosomal RNA", at positions 324 to 1387 of the family's 1533-position model. The record is from RNAcentral.